Molecule: long non-coding RNA, 210 nt
Filed under: Erythranthe guttata (spotted monkey flower)
Lineage: Eukaryota; Viridiplantae; Streptophyta; Magnoliopsida; Lamiales; Phrymaceae
Description: long non-coding RNA (EGUT_LNC000165)
Source: RNAcentral
CAAAAAACACUACACAUCAAACACAGUUGGACCAAACUUUACCAACAACCAAACUUUAUUUUUCUCAAUCGGGCACUUGUGAAAAGCUCGAGCUGAUUUCUCAUCCAAUGUAAGACUUUGAUAAACGGACAUUUGGAAAAUCUCAGACAUACCACCAACUCCAGCAAUCUCCUCGAGCAACUGCUCUUCUGUAUAUCCUUGUUCCAAUGC